CACGUAGGCUGUAGUGUAAGUCAGGGGUGAAAUCCCACGGCUCAACCGUGGAACUGCCUUUGAUACUGCACAACUUGAAUCCGGGAGAGGGUGGCGGAAUUCCAGGUGUAGGAGUGAAAUCCGUAGAUAUCUGGAGGAACAUCAGUGGCGAGGGCGGCCACCUGGACCGGUAUUGACGCUAAGGUGCGAAAGCGUGGGGAGCAAACA
Molecule: ribosomal RNA, 207 nt
Filed under: uncultured bacterium
Lineage: Bacteria
Description: partial 16S ribosomal RNA
Rfam family: Bacterial small subunit ribosomal RNA
Source: RNAcentral